RNAcentral lists this ribosomal RNA (253 nucleotides) under uncultured bacterium. RNAcentral's name for it is "partial 16S ribosomal RNA". It matches the Rfam family "Bacterial small subunit ribosomal RNA", at positions 524 to 776 of the family's 1533-position model. The record is from RNAcentral.
UACAGAGGGGGCAAGCGUUGUUCGGAAUUACUGGGCGUAAAGGGUGCGUAGGCGGCCCUGUAAGUCAGUGCUGAAAUAUCCCGGCUUAACCGGGAGGGUGGCAUUGAUACUGCGGGGCUAGAGUACAGAUGAGGUAGGCGGAAUUGACGGUGUAGCGGUGAAAUGCGUAGAGAUCGGAAGGAACGUCGAUGGCGAAGGCAGCCACCUGGCAUAAUACUGACGCUGAGGCGCGAAAGCGUGGGUAGCGAACAGG